This 839-nucleotide ribosomal RNA is filed under the name bacterial str. vp424. RNAcentral describes it as "bacterial SSU rRNA". It matches the Rfam family "Bacterial small subunit ribosomal RNA", at positions 512 to 1344 of the family's 1533-position model. Lineage: Bacteria; Thermotogati; Thermotogota; Thermotogae; Thermotogales. The record is from RNAcentral.
CCGCCGSGGUAAUYCGUAGGGGGCGAGCGUUGCCGCGGAAUCACUGGGUGUAAAGGGGMCGUAGGCGGAUGAUCAAGUCAUCUGUGAAAAGAUUGCUCAACGAUUGGCUUGCGGAUGAAACUGGUCUAUCUUGGGCGUAGCAGAGGUAGACGGAAUUACCUGAGUAGGGGUGAAAUCCGCAGAUACAGGUAAGAACGCCGGUGAAGAAGUUGGUCUACUGGGCUUAAGUGACGCUGAGGUCCGAAAGCCAGGGGAGCGAACCGGAUUAGAUACCCGGGUAGUCCUGGCUGUAAACGAUGCUCACUAGGUGUAGGGAGCGAAAGACUCUCUGUGCUGAAGCGAACGCGCUAAGUGAGCCACCUGGGGAGUACGUCCGCAAGGAUGAAACUCAAAGGAAUUGACGGGGGUSCGCACAASCGGUGGAGCAUGUGGUUUAAUUCGAAGCUAACCGAAGAACCUUACCAGGGAUUGACAUGUAACUGAAGGUAGAGAAAUCUACUGGCCUGCCGCAAGGCAGGGGGUUACACAGGUGGUGCACGGUCGUCGUCGAGCUCGUGCCGUGAGGUGUUGGGSUUAAGUCCCAUCACCGAGCGCAACCCCUACGAUUAGUUACCAGCAAGUAAAGUUGGGUACACUAAUUGGACAGYCGCCGACGAGGCGGAGGAAGGAGGGGAUGMCGUCAGAUAAGCGUGCCCCUUAUACUCUGGGCGACACACGUGCUACAAUGGGGAGGACAAAGGGAAGCGAAGCCGGAAGGUGGAGCGGAUCCGGAAAAACUCUCCGUAAUAUGGAUUGUAGGCUGAAACCCGCCUACAUGAAGCUGGAAUCGCUAGUAAUCG